UCUUUAAAAGGAAUUCAAUGUAGAACAGUGGAAGACACAUAGUCUAAGAGUAACCUUUCCCUUCUACUCUGGUAUCAAUUCACUAAGGCAAGGUAUCACCAAAAAAAAUCAAUGGUGGGAAUCGAUAACUUUGGGUGCGGGAUUAUCGACUCCCAGGAUUUUGAGGCCACUGAUGCUGUCGUAUCGGCUGUAAAGUUGGCUCCUGUUGACAACAUCGUUGUUGAUGACGGACCAACAAAUCUGAAUCUGGAGCUAACCAUGAAUGUGGGCGCUAUAGACAGCCCGAGUGAAAACCUCACGGAAGAUUCCAAGGUCCCACAUGAUGACUUAAUUUAGAUGGCAGUUAGGCUACUAGAGGUUCAUCGUUAACCCAUUUAAUUUUUUCCAUUUACAAAUGCUUUAACUUUAAGGCUGGAUAGCUUUUCGAUAGACGACCCACGCAUGACAUGUGCCUGGGAUUGGAACAAAGGCAGCAAAUUUUGUCUUGGGUUAAGUAAAGUUAAGGGUGUGCCCCACAUGCCGUGGUCCUGUAUUCGUCCAUUGUGUGUUAAUAAAAACAUAAUGAGACUGAAACUAUAUUUUGCACAAGCCACUUUUCAAAUGAUUUGCAUGUAACACGUUUUAAACCUAGACUAAUGUUCCUUACUGAUGUCGAAAGUUUCUUCUUUUUUUGCACCAUAGCCAUAGAAGAUCGACUCCAGGAUAGUCACUUUGGAAGAACGGAUGUCAGCACUGGAACGACCAAUGUUACACACCAAAGUAACGUUAACAGAGCUGCAAUCGUUACUAACGAAACAAAUGAAGAGUCAAAAUACGUCGGGGAGUAUGGUAUCCAUAGCAGCAGUUACCAACCCUAAUCUUGGUGGGACCAUGUUGGAGUUAAUUUAGCCCACAACAAUUCAUUCGACAACUGCAGCGACUACUCGUUUCAGCUCACGAACGCCAACCGAAAAGAUGGUGGAAAAAGGAAAGGGGGUAUUGUUGGCCAGCAGCAACUCCUUGCUAGAUAUCAUUGUGCCGAACUCUCCCGAUUAUGAUGACGAUGUCAUAAUCAACGAGGCAUUUUUCACUCCGCGUCCCAUUACAGCGAAGACCCAGGCUGGAUCCCUGAAAGGGACCUUUGCACAGUAUUGGUGCUCUGGAGUGCCUAAAAGGACCACUAUAAAAGGUACCAUUACACAUGAAUCCGCAGCAGUUGCUAAUGAUAAGGUUUUAUGGACCUUUCGAACAUGUCUUAGUUUGACUGCACCAGUAAAGUCUGUGAAGUAUUCGCGUUACUGGAGAACUGCAACAAUCCAGUAAAGAAACCCAAAUUGAAACCCGUAGUGUCGAAAGCUAUAAACGCAGUAGGCCAACCUUUCAUUACUUAGCCCACACUAUCCGUUAUCACUGGCCAUGCCAACAUAAGUUCUCCUUCUCUGCAGUAUGGAAGUGGUUUUAGACCAUAUGGGAUGUCGAACAUAAUAGACUCCCCCCGUGUUACUAAUUCCACUGGCAAGUCAUGCACACACUCUAAAUGAAUCAUAUAUUACGCAUCAUGACGUACAUUUGUUGUUAGUAUUGAGUGGCUGAUGUGAUACUUUAUUUUUGAUUGUUUGAUUAGGGGUUUCAAAUGGUAUUCAGGCCAACUGUGCACAUGGAUUUGACUUAUGAUGAAUGCAAAAUGGCUACUUACAUUUAUGGAAAAACUGAUCAGUAUUUAUUAUGAACAUCAUGUUAAUGAGCGCUUCCAUGAAAGCUUGUUGUGUUCUUCCUCCUUGUGUUUGGUACACACCUUUCGUGUUUGUCGAUGACAUUCUUUUUCUGAGGCCGUUGGAAGUUAUAAUCAUGAAAUACCUGAACAGAUGGAUAUCGGUGACACCUAAGCUUGAACAUGUCUUUGUGCCGGUAUGCGAACAAACCUACACAUGGUACUUGAUGGUUGUGGACGUGAAGCGAGCCACAGUGUACUGCCUAGAUGUAACAAGAGCACCUGGAUACAAGGAACGGGGGGAGCGCAAUAUGCAAACUAUUCUACUUAUGCUAGCCCAGAUUUUCAAGCUAGACAUGAACCUAAAGAGUUUUGUCCAUGUUUCCACUGAUCCUACCACAUGAGGACCAGUACAGUAUCCUGAAGGAGUCCCAUGCGAUCCACAAUGGUAUACUUCAUAUUUACUAUCAAUUAUGAAGUGAAUUUAAACAAUGGUUUAUUUAGUGGAUUUGGUCAAAGUUAAUGACAUGGACAUAAUUUUUGGUUACGUAGUAAUGAUUCUUGUCUCUGGAUGUUGAACUGGCUCCAAACAGAGGGAAAAUUCACACUAGCGAACCUUUCUUGUCAAGUUUAUCUUCUAACUCAUUUUUUUAUUUUUUAAAUGAUAUAAUCUUCUUCUCACAACUAAUCUUGUGUUACUAAUGGAUGGAUCAUUUGAAAUUAAGGAUGAAGACCGCAACAAUAAUUGUUCUUUUGGACUGCAACGAGGUCAAGGCUGCAGUGGAGUCGAAGGCGGAGGGCGCUUGGACGAAGAUACUGCGCACUAAGGAGUUAUCCUCUAUCAUAUGAAAGAGAUUCAGCGACAUUUAUAUACAACAUAUUGAAAUAGGCUAAGUAUCAUUUUGGUGCCAAUAUCGUUUGAUGUCGUUGAUACCGUUAGGUUGUAUUUUGUUUUAUUGUUUACAUAAUCUUGUCUAAGAAUAUAGGCCUUAAUUACCUGCUGAUGGCUACUUUUGUGUGUGGAUACUAGUGGUCUUGUCGACAGGCUAGAGUACAAUCUCCACACUCCCCACUUACAUCUUCCUACUAUGUGAAGCUGGGUUACUAUAAGUUAAAUGGGGAUAUUGCCAAUACUAAAUAAAGUCUACUUGGUUGCCAUUUUAUGUAUUGUCGGUGAUGUAUGUGUAUCGAAUGAUGGAAAUCGUUUUGAA
Arachis ipaensis is the source of this 2901-nucleotide non-coding RNA. The record is from RefSeq and is a predicted model, not a curated record. Lineage: Eukaryota; Viridiplantae; Streptophyta; Magnoliopsida; Fabales; Fabaceae.